Molecule: long non-coding RNA, 745 nt
Organism: Pezoporus occidentalis (night parrot)
Lineage: Eukaryota; Metazoa; Chordata; Aves; Psittaciformes; Psittacidae
Exons: 2
Source: RefSeq, a predicted model, not a curated record
UCCAUUGAAGAACUGAACUUCUUCAAAAGUUUUUGGACUAGGAAGAUUGCUGAUAAUGGAAGGAUGCAUCAGAAGAAAUAAAUAAAGGGCUGUUGUUCCUACAACAACAAAAAGAGAUGCCAUUAGGAAAUAGUAAAAAAAUCUCCACCUUUGACCUUAUUCAUUCAAGAAAGUACUUUAAAUCAAUGCAUGCUGAGAUAUACAGGAAAAUUAGAUUACCUUUUAUAAGGAAGUUGCCUGUUGAUGAAAAGCCUGUGUAAGCACAAGGGGCUUUCAGAGGGAUGUGGGAUACGUGCAGACUCUUCUGCUUUUUGAGCUUUUGUCAUUUCCAAACCCUGAAUUCUGCUGUGUGAUACAAGCCUGAUAUUGCUGCUGAAGGCAUUGCUUGCUUGACUCUGUAUUUAAACCUCUGAGGCAAUUAGGCCUGCACAUCUUUGUUUUCAAACUAUUCAUGUUGCACAAAACUUCUCAAAAGCAUUAACUGUGGGACUAUGUUUUUGUUGCUCCCAGAACUGUCUUUUUGCCCUCUGUGCAUUUGUUCUGGGGGUCUGCUACUGAGGAAUAAAAAUUCUGUUUCAAUGCUAUUAAGCCUGUAUGUGGAAAAGAUUCUUAUUUCAACAAAUGGCUUGUAAUUGGAGGAGGAAGAAGAUGUGAUAUUACCUGCCAAAGAGGGUCUGUCUGCUCUGGAAAGAGCUCAAAGUACUUCUGAGCCAGCUGAACGGGGGGCAGUGUCUGCAGGUUCAGG